UACGGAGGGGGCAAGCGUUGUUCGGAUUUACUGGGCGUAAAGCGUAUGUAGGCGGUUUGGUAAGUUACUUGUGAAAUUUCUGAGCUUAACUCAGAGCGGCCAAGUAAUACUGCCGAACUAGAGUGCAGAAGGGGCAAUUGGAAUUCUUGGUGUAGCGGUGAAAUGCGUAGAUAUCAAGAGGAACACCAGAGGCGAAGGCGAAUUGCUGGGCUGACACUGACGCUGAGAUACAAAAGCUAGGGGAGCAAACAGG
Molecule: ribosomal RNA, 253 nt
Filed under: uncultured bacterium
Lineage: Bacteria
Description: partial 16S ribosomal RNA
Rfam family: Bacterial small subunit ribosomal RNA
Source: RNAcentral